Molecule: ribosomal RNA, 253 nt
Filed under: uncultured bacterium
Lineage: Bacteria
Description: partial 16S ribosomal RNA
Rfam family: Bacterial small subunit ribosomal RNA
Source: RNAcentral
UACGUAGGGGGCAAGCGUUGUUCGGAAUUACUGGGCGUAAAGCGCGUGUAGGCUGCUUCGCAAGUCGGGUGUGAAAGCCCUGGGCUCAACCUAGGAAGUGCACUCGAAACUGCGGAGCUGGAGUCCUGGAGAGGAAGGCGGAAUUCUCGGUGUAGAGGUGAAAUUCGUAGAUAUCGAGAGGAACACCGGUGGCGAAGGCGGCCUUCUGGACAGUGACUGACGCUGAGACGCGAAAGCGUGGGGAGCAAACAGG